Ooceraea biroi (clonal raider ant) is the source of this 1474-nucleotide long non-coding RNA. RefSeq lists it as uncharacterized. The record is from RefSeq and is a predicted model, not a curated record. NCBI's taxonomy places the organism in Eukaryota, Metazoa, Arthropoda, Insecta, Hymenoptera, Formicidae.
CGUGAGAGGCAAGGGGAUUACUCACGUUAAACCAACACCCCAAAGGGAACAGAAUUCUACUACGUCCACGUCGUUGUUCCUGGAUAGCGCUAAAAGUAGGAUGAUCCGAAUGUUUUUAAACAUGCAUAACUACAGAGAUUUGAGUGAAAAGUGUUUUGGAAAGCUCUCGAGAUAAGCUACAAGAAUAUGUAAUGAGAAAUAGUAGGUUCUAUUUAAGAAAUUGAAUAUGACCUUCAUGUGACCAUCAAGUAACUCUUCAAGGUCAAACCAAUGAUACCAUCUUAUGUCCCCCUCGAAGCCAUACAACUUUUGUCUGAAACAUUUUUCUCUAAAAUGUUCUAUUUCCGAAAUAAAAGGGCUGUACGGGUGAUUUGAAUCACACUGUAUACUAAGUUGCAUUUCCAUAAAAAGCGGGAUGCCACGAACAGCUCGCGAUGUUGCGCGAAUAAUAUCAAAAAGAUGCGAAAUUGUUUCUCAAUCAGAUCUCGCUCGCAGACUCGACGGAAACUCGAUUACGAAUUAAUGUCAAUCUUAAUCUCCGUCUUCAUUAUCGUUUGAGCGAAACCUCAAUCUACCUUAGAUAUAAUCUGACGUUUGAAUAUAGUUAUUUCAGAUUAAUUUGCGUCUAUCUCAAUCUAUAUUGACACUAAAAAAGCUAAUCAAAAAGCUGUCAUGCGAUGACGAAGCAUUUAUGCGUUGCGAAUAAAUACGCGACUGCAUUAAUGCGUUCGUCAGUAAUGGAGAACAAGCUAAUAAAGUGGUUGUUCUCUUCAAAUUCCUCACCGUGGUUCUUGAGGAAAUUCUCCUUGAGGAAUAGCCCCUCGUGAUCCUCGUACAUACGAGCGCGUUGCAAAUGCAAAGCCGCCGGUAGCACGAGUCUAGGGAUCCAGACUAGCUUGUCUACCUAGUGUCACGAUAAAGCUUCCUACAUCGGUCCUUCACUUCCGACUGAGAAACUAUCGCGCAGGCGACUAUCAAGACGAUUGCUGGCUUGUCUUACACGUAACCCACGCCGACCCACGCGCGCGUUUCGCUCCUACGGAAACGAAAUUGCUCGGCUCUGCUGUUAAACGCGCGAAAGAAAUAGAGGGAUCGCUUCGUCCCGCGCUCCGUCUCUAGGUUAAAUUGUUUUUAUUAGCUGGUCCCUUCUUAGGCGGGAUAUCAACGGCAGUAAAGAACUCGGCGAUAGAAACGCGCGUAAGAGGCUUUUUGCCAAGAAUCUCUCGGGGAGGAAAGAUAGGCUCGUUUCUUCUUGUCGCUUUCAUCGCGCGGAUUCGAAUUCGCCAUGAAGGGAAAGUCUACUCGACGAAUCAGUCGUUUAUCCGCGUUUAUAUCGAGCCGAAGUUUCGUCGUGUCUGAUCGAGAUACAUGCCGGCACGUGUAUGUAUGUGUGUAUGUAUGUACUCGGAUGGGUUUUGAAGUCGGUCAUUCUCAAGCGCUCCACGAAGCACAGGAUUUCGAAGAAUCUAUAUUA